AGAAGGAAAAUUAUGGAUAGACUGUCUCAUUCUGGGUUUCAUUUAUAAAUGGGCAUCACAUGUUUUAAUGUCACUUUCAGGGUGGCCGCGGGAUACAGUAGAAGGUAUGCAUACUUACCUUACUUCUUCUUAUAGUAUCUUGGAACUGCAUUGUAAUGCCAUUAGUAAAUAGCUUUCUCCAUUGUAUACACAGUCAAUCAAGUUGUAGGGUACUGCUAUAGUCUCUACAUACUGUUAGUAAAUAGGCUUAUCCUCUGUAGUCAUGUCAGUUGCACACAUUAAUGGGUACCCUGUACAGUGGAGCACAGGGUAGUUAGUGAUUUGCAAUGAGAGAUCUUAGAUAUGAUUAAACAUUUUUAAGCCCCAUGUUACAGCGUGUCGUCUUUACAACCAUCUGCAAAGUCAUGCCAAUAACAAUUUCUGUUUGUCUGUCUGUCUUUCUGUCUGUCUAUCUAUCUAUCUAUCUAUCUAUCUAUCUAUCUAUCUAUCAUUAAGACAGAAGAAGUUCAAGUACCAGAAGGCCAAAUAGGAGAUGUAGAGAACAGCUAAAGUACCUGGGGUAUUCCUAACACAUAUCAACUGUGAGGAAUAGGCAAGGAGAAUUGCAACAUCCAAGUAGCUUCAGAGAGUCAGACAGGUCCCGAGUUCCGAACUCAAUGGCAAUAACAAGAUCCAAGCCAUCAACACAUCUGCUCUACCAGUCAUCAGGUAUCCAGCUGGAAUAAUAACCUGGCCAAGAGAAAAGUUGGUCACCAUUGAUGUCAAGACCUGGAAACUUCUCACACUGAAUGGAGGACUCCACCUGAAAUUCACAACCUAGAAACUGUACACCAUAUUCUGUCUGUCUGUCUGUCUAGCUCUUUAAAGGACAGAUGUUUAUGAUAACAUUGACCAUAUUAUCAAAUGAUGUUACUUUAAAGUGGUAAACCUUGUUCAAGAUCAUCAACUGCCUAUAUUGCUUAAUGGAAAUCAGACCUUUAAGGGCCGGAUGUUUCCAUCACAAAAUAUAGAAUCCAGUUCUUGAAUGCUUGACACGUAAUGUAAUAAUAUCUCAUUUAUACAUUUGAUUCUCAAACUGAAAAUAAAAUUUGUGGUCCAGUCUUAAAUUAUUAACUAAAUAGUAAAAUUGAAUUAACGAGGGAAAGGCUCACAGAUGGCAUUCAACUUUUUAGAAGAAAUAAUUUUUCUGCUCACCAUAUGACUCAUAAAACUGUUUCUUCGUAUUAACCUUUAAAAUAAAAAAAUAAAAACAUUAAAUCUCCAGGAUUAUGCCUCAUGCAUGUAGGGACACAUAAAUAUAUAUGAUCUUGCAAAACAAUUAAACAGAUAAAAAGGAAAUACACUAAUACUUUACACACAUCAAAACAUUAACCCUUUAAAAGUCCAGAGAAAACAGGUCGAUUCAGUAGUUACUUGGUUGUAAAAUGGCUGGCUUGGAAGAUUGUUUCUACUCAGCUGGUGAAUAAACUACAGUUCAUUGUUUUUAAAUAAAUUAAACCCCAUGGUGAAACUUAGAGUGCUAGGGCAGUACUCAGGAAUAAGACAUUUCUGUAUUUUUAAUGAAUUUACGAUGGCUGGAUUUUCCAGUAAACUGACCAAGAAGCACAUGGACCAAACUGGGUCAGUGUAAGGCCAUCUCCUUAACAAGAAAUGCACAUUUAUUUCCUUUUAGCUAUUAAUAUAUAUCUCAUUUUGCUAUAUAUUUACAUUUAUAUCCUGAGGCAAAUCAUGGCCGAAGCUACAGAGAAAUACAUUUUUGGUGCUAUGAAGGGCCCAUACAACGGUGCCUUAUUAAAUAAAUAUGGAAGACUCUUUUUCUCUUCAAUAAAUGCAGUGAAAAUAUGCCCUCAAUGCUUAACUGAAAUACAAUAAAGCCUUCAUUGACCAAAUUCAUUGGCCUUAUUGAAAUGCCAGCUUUUCUAUAAAAUUCUAUAAAAAUGGACUUCAUGUAAUGUCGCCUGAGAAUGCGUUAGAUUUCAUGAAAACAUCCAUGGAAAUGAACUAAUUUCGAAAAAGAAAAAAUGACAGCCAGGUAUCUGUUUUUCUAUGGGAUACGUCCAGCAUGGCAACGAACUGCGAGAAUGUAUUGCAUGCAUCCUACUACGGAACGGAUGGAAAAAUUUGGUGGCAGAUCUGAGGAUGUAAAAUCCCCUGUAAACUGAGCUAAAAUGUGUAAAUGUUCAUACACGCAGAGCUAGGGGGAUUCAGAAAGGAACAGGGACUAAUUAUAAUUCCUCUAUGUACAAUAAAUGUUUUGCAUCACUAUUAGUUCACAAGGUCAUGGUACAUGCAAUACCAUACUUAGACUUUUUUUUUUUUUUUUUUUUUUAAUAAACUUGAAUGUCUUCCAGGCACUGUAGUAACUUUUGCUUUUCCUGGCUACAACAACAAAAAUGUUGUGCUACACCCAAUUUGGCUUUGGGCAGGGUAACUCCACUUAUUAUUCCAAGAUUGCUAAGGGGAAACACAGAUGAAUUACUUUACUCGUAAUAAAAUUGGAAAAAUACUGAUUGGGACACAUGGAAUGUCUUAAGAGAAUUGUCUAUACUUAUAUGCAAUUAUGUUUUGACUACCUGAAGAAGAAUCACCCUUUAACUUCUAUCAAAAAUACCACAGACGUACUUUCAUUUCUCAUUGACAUUCAACGACAUUUAGGUAAUAGGAAGUAAUUGUGUAUUGAAUCAAUAGACAACAAAUUCAGUAAAUACAGUAAAAUAUAUUUAAAAAAUGCUCUAAUUAAAUUUGUUACAGAAAAAACGAACAAAAUAAAAGAGAAAACAAGAAAGAAGAGUAUGUGAAGGAAAGCCAUAACAAAGUAAGAUUUGAUUUAUAUCUUUGUCAUUGUCAUAGGUCAAAAAAGGAAUGAAAAAUGGUCAUCAGAGGCAUGAUGGAAUUUAUAAUAGUUAGCAGUUUAUUUAAUUGUUUAACAGGAUUCUACAGCUGAAGGAGAUAAACCAAAACCCUAAUGAUAUAGUGUAAUCAGCAAACCUAGCUAUGGUCUUCUGAGCAGUAGUUUAUAUGCUCUUAUCUAUUUAUCUAUUUAUAUAAUACAAUUCUAGGGAGGACUUGUGAACCAUUGAGGAAUGUUUGCUAAUGUCUAUGAAGUCAAAGAAGUGGGACAUCGAGAGAUAGAGGCAUGAGCUGCAUCCCCCACAAUAAAUUACUCUGGUAGUCCUUUAUAUUUCUACAUGAUGGACCUCCAGCAGGUGAACAGUUUAGAUUUAUGGGUGGCACCUGAAUUGUGGAUAGACAGACACAGCUCAAAAAAACAAUGAGGACACUGGUGAUGCCAAAUCCUUGAAUACACAUAAAGGUUCAAUAUACCUAUACCUGAAUGUGAAUGCACCAAAUGUAGCAAAUCUUACAUUUUAGAAAGAUGUAUGUGUUCAUUGUUAUUGGAGGAGAACCACCCUAAUGUAAUCUUUGGGAGGAUGUCAAUACUGUAUUAGAUCUCCUUCUGAACAGUAGCUCAUAUCAACCCAACAGAGUGAGCUAGGCCAUCACUCUUCCAGCAAUCAGACUACACUUAACUGAUGGUUGUAAGAAUCUACACCAUACUGACAGCGGCUAUAUUUUAUUUUCCUACCAGCAAAGACUUGGACCAUUUCUUUCAUAUAACAAAAUACUGUUCUGAGACUAUAAUAAAUAAAGUCAGUGGACUAAAUGUUUUCUUUAUACCUAACUUCUAAGGUCACCUGAAAAAUUCAUUUUUUUUAGUGAAAUAAGUUUGUUAUUCUUUAGAAAUCCAUGAGGACGGGACUGAUCCCUCUCUAUUGGACAGGUUUAUAGACCCUCAGUUAUCAUAUUCCACGUUAAGAUAGCUUGAUAAUACAUUACAACUACAUAGUUACAUAGGCUGAAAAGAGACAUAUGUCCAUCAAGUUCAGCCUUUCUCACAUCUGUUUUUGUAAGGCAAAAGAAAACAGUUUAAAGGGCUUUCCAAUUUUGCAACAAACUAGAGAAAUAUUCCUUCUUUACCCCAGAAUGGCAUUCAGAUCUUCCCUUGGAUAAAGAAGCUGUUACCCCACAUAUUGAAAAUUAUAUUAUUAUCAUUUAAUUAUUUAUAAUUCGUAGGGCUGUACAAUUUAAGGAAGUGAGCAGCCAUCCAGUUGGAAAUUGUGGAGAGGCAGUCAGAGACAUGUGUCAAGAUGGGUGGAAAGAGAUCAGGUAGAGAGGACAGGUAGAUUUGCGUGUCAUCUGUAUUUAAAUGAUAAUGGAAGCCAAAGGAGCUGAUGAGUUUACCAAGGGAGGCAAAUAUAGAUGGAGAACAGUAGGGGAUCAAGGACAGAACCUUGGGGAACGCCAACAGAGAGGGGUUGGGGAGAAGAGGCAGAGCCCGAGAAAGAAACACUGAAAAAGCACCAAGAGAGAGCAGUAUCUCAUAGACCAAGAUUAUGGAGAAUGAUAAGAAGCUGUUGAUGAUCAACAGUGUCAAAGGCAGCAGCAAGUUCAAGAAGAAUUAGGAUAGAGUAGUGGCUGUGAGAUUUAGCAGCAAUUAAAUCGUUGGGUACUUUGGUUACAGCUGUUUCAACAGAGUAACGAGUGCGGAAUUCAGACUGAAGCGGGUAAAGCAGAGAGUUGGAUUCGAGGAAGUCUGUAAAUCUCACCUACACAACUCUCUCAAGGAUCUUGGAAUCAAAUGGCAGUAGCGAUAUAUGGCGGUAGUUGGAUGCGGAGUUUGGGUCAAGGUUGGGCUUUUUCAUAAUUGGCAUUAUGGUUGCAUGCUUGAAGGGUGAAGGAAAUGUGCCGGAGGAAAGGGAGAGAUUGAAAAUAGAGGAAGCGCAAGAGAGGGAGAUAGAGUGCAUAUGAGAUAUAAGGGAAUAGGCUCGAGGGAACAGGUGGUGGGGCAGGAGGACCAGAGCAGAGCAGAAACCUCUUCUGUUGUAGUAGAUGCGAAUGAGCUUAGUAUAGUGGAGUGAGUGGGGUUGGGUGAUGUAUUGGAAGGGGAGGGAGAGAGGUUAGAGAUCUCUUCCCUGAUAGUAGAAAUCUUCUUAGUGAAGUGAGUUGCAAAUUUUGAGGAGGACAGAGUGGUAGGAAGAGGGGAGCAACAGAGCGAAUGAGAGCAUUAAAAGUGUGACAUAUCUUAUUGAAUAUUAUGUUUUUGCAAGUAUUCAUCCAGUUGCUGUCUAAAUAUCUGUACAGACUGAUCAACUCACCUCUUUAGGCAGAGAAUUCCAUAUCCUUGUUGUUCUUACUGGAAAAAAACAAACAAAAAACAUGUCCUUUACCUUAGCCUAAAUCUAAUUUCUUCCAGUCUAAAUGCACAACCUUGUGUUGUUUGUAUACUCCUGUUUAUGAAUAGAUUUCCAGGCAAUGGUUUGUAUUGGCCCAGUAUAUAUUUGUAUAAUGCUAACACAUCCCUUCCGAGGGGCUAUUUUUCCAAACUAAACAUAUUUAAAUGUUUUAAUCUUUCUUAAUAACUAAUAUGUUCCAUUCCUUUUAUUAAUAUUUUAGCCUGCCCCUGCACUUUUUCUAGUGCCAUUAUAUCCUUCUUUAGAACAGGUGCCCAAAAUUGCACAGCAUAUUCAAGCUGUGAUUUAUAAAGAGAGCGAAAUUAUUAUUUUUAUCCAGAGAAUGAAUGCCCCCUCCUGAUCUGCCUUUUUGGUGACAUCAUCAGAAUUGUGCAGCACUCCCUUACGAAGCACCUUCAGUGGCCAUCUGAGGAGUGGCCACAGGAGGUGUCCCUAGGCUGUAAUGUAAACACUGGGUUUUCACUGAAAAUGCAGUGUUUGCAUGAAAAAGGCUGAAGGGAAUAAUUUACUCACCAGAACAACUACCUCAAGCCAUAGUUGUUCUGGUGACUAUAGUGUCCCUUUAACCAGCACAAGUUCCAAAAAUCUUGGAGCUUGAAUAGUGCUUCUCAUGUGUCUUUACCACUAUAGUGUCAGGAAUACAUGUUUGUGUCCCUGACACUAUAGUGUUCCUUUAAUUAUCUACAACAAUAUCCGUGUCAUGUUGCUGGUUAAGAAGGGUACUGUACGUGCAGAAAGACUCUCACGUUUGCCCUUUUGAACACUAAGACCUCAUUUUAGAAAAACCUGCUCUAACUAGCAUCUAUGUUUUGCCCUGUUAGGAAAUUUUCCACGAAAACCAAAUAGUGAACUACACCCAACACAGCCAGAGGCUGGGUAACUCCAGCUACAAUUCAAUACUGUUAGGGGAAGCACAGACAGAAUUAUUUUCUCAUAACAUCCUGGGAAAAUCUUGAUUGGGACAUGCUAAGUGUCUUGGAGGAAAGCUUUAUAGCUAUUAUGUAAAAAUAAUAUUUUGCAACCUUGAAGGUAUCCUUAAGUAUACAGAUAUUUUGAUGAAUAAAAUCAAGGUAAUUCUAUGUCAUGGGAUCUGGAUGGACUGAUACAUGUUACACAAUCUAUAGUUUGAUUGUACCUUCUGUCUUACAGUUAAACAGUUUCAUCAAGAAUCUAUCUAACUAUGUCUCCCGGAUACAGUCCAGACUUAGAAUUAAUACGUUUUUUUCUUUUGGAAGAAGAGUUUAAGAGAAUAAAUUAAAUGCACAUUUUAAUGCAGUUAUUUCCCUGAAAUUCUCAGUUUUUGGGUGGGGAUAUUUUGGAUCAUUUGGAUCAUAUUUUGAGACAUAUUUCUAUGGAGUUGUAAGGUCAUCCUUAAAUUAUAGGUAGGAUGCUAAACUUGCAUUAACAACUAUGCUGUUAUCAUCUGCCUUGAUAUUAACACAAAAUGCACCAGAUACUACAUAAGUCACAGGGGAUCUGCUGCAAUCCCCUAGUAGUGGUUGUCGGAAUUAAAUGGUUCCUACAACCACUACUUCAGUGAUUUGAAGUGGUCAUGGUGGUAGGAGUUUAAAUGUGCAGAGCUUCUGCAUGAAACUCAAAAUGCACAUUACAUUGUACAAUGGCAACAGAUGUAACAAUCUUCCCCCUUGCAGGCAGCUUAAUCUCAUUUCCCUCUGUGUGGACCCUACAAACCUCCCAUCAUUAAAGAAUUCCCUCCAUCAUUCUCUGCCUCCCCAAUCUUCCCUCCCCUAGCUGGCUCAGGUUGGAGAAACAGUCCAAUCACAGGCCUCUUGAGUCAACAGAGUUAAAGUAACCCUUUAAGUAUCUACUGCUGCUUUACAUAUGACUGGUUAAUACUGCUAUGGAAUAGGACAACUUUGUUUCCUUGGAUAAUUUGUUUGGAUGAAGAACUACACAACCUUUGUACACUUGUGGUAAUUGUAAUACACUAAUAUUGAGUUUUUAUUUUUGUAUUUUCUGAACUUAAUUUGCCUUUUUUAUGACGUAUGUGAUACUGUUUAGUGCAUGCAUGAAUGUAACUUUUUGUUUGUAAAAAAUUGUGCAUUAUGGAAUUUCACUAUCAGGUUUUUCACUCUGUAUCUCUUUAUUUAAGUUUCCAAGAAGGAAAGAAAACGCCAUUGGGCCCUGUGGGUUAUCUUAAUACUUCUCCAUAAGAUAGCAUUAGACUCCAUCCAGUCAUCCAGUCAGUGACCAUUCCUAAUGUUUUCAAAUAAUUUGAUUUAAAAAAAAAAAAAGCUGAAUAACAAUAUGGGCUGGAUAAUAUGUUCAAUGCUUGUGUUCUCAAAUCUAAAAAGGAGCCCAUAAUAGACCUGUACAUGGUGGAAAAGUUUGGAUCGGCAGAAAAAUACAAACGAAUGUUGCGAAAAUGGGUGUAAAAUUAGUGUAUUGCAAAAUAUAUACAUAAUAUAAAUAUUUUGGUAAGUGAAUGAUAAUUUGAAGUAAUAUUUGCAGGCUGUCAGCACUAGUAGUUGGGGGAAAUAGUUAAAUAACCCUUGGAACAUAGAAUGUGACGGCACAUAAGAACCUUUCGGCCCAUCUUGUCUGCCCAAUAGUAUGAGUGUUAGUCCUGUGGUGGUUGGCAGGGCUUGUUAGCAGGAAGAGCUUUUAAAAAAAAGAUUUUAAAAAUCGAUGGAAAAUUGCAAAAUAGUGGGCAUUGACAGAGAUAACUGAUAAUCUGUCCAAAUGUGCAUAAAGAUGGCGGUCCGAAUUGGGCAAUGGGAAGGGUAGGCAAGAGAUUUCUUAAAAACAAUCAACAUAUGUAGCCUAACAUUACACACAAUUAAUGAAAUGGUAAACAUAAAGAUUAUAUAAAGCUAUUAAAAUAACAUUAUAACAUAAAACUGACAUGAAAAAAUUAUGACAGUAUUUAUUUAAUACAUAGAUCCCCCACAUGCUCAUAUACAAUGUUCUAUUUUUUCAUUAAUCUAUUUCUAUUCUGUAUAUAGAUUUUGCAGUUAGAUAAAGAUUACAUUAUACAGUAUAUUCCUAGAAAGGCUGAACGUUUUACCAUCAUGAAUAAAAGGCAUUGUUUUUGCAGAAUGUCUGUAGUAAGCUUACCUUUCUCAAUUCUUCUAAAAACCCACAUUUCAAUAUUUGAAUUCUAAUAACAGAACUUUGGUAAAACACAUAACUGCUUCAUUCAUUACCCAGAAGAGUAUUUGUUAUUAUUUACGUUUCCUCGAUACAUGCUGCGUUAACUUGUAAAAAAUCAGGGGCUAGGGGAUCAUUCUUCCAAACAUCCAGAGAGAUUUAAAGAUUUGCUGAAAGCCCUCUUUAACAUUGACAGAACAACCAUCGUUUUCCUGUCAGCUUGUAUUACAGAUUAAAUGGAUAAAGAAAAGACUACGAAAUGUCUCAGGGUCACUGGGGUAGCCCGUGUCAAUCCUUUGGUUAAAGGAAAUCAAAACAGGGACCCAAAUCCCAAAGGCUUUGGGAAAGAAACUAAGGAAAACGCCUCUAAGUCUCAAUGUGCUCUGGUUACGUGUGAGUUCGGCAUGUUAAUUUGGAUACGUGUGCAGUACAUGUCGUAGUAUAAAACUCCACUUUAAUUGAAGAUUAUGCUAGCGCAGUGUACUAAUAAUCUUAAUUUUAAUAAUGACAGGAGGAUUCAUAUUUUGCAUUAACUUACUUUACUAACUCCACAGCAGCAAAGAAAAAAACAGUUGAAAGAAAGAACCAAUCAGCUUGAGUCAGAGAGUAUAUAAGUUCCAGCCUAGCCAAUCAUUUCCUCUUGACUAGUGCGACAUUACAAGUUCAUAAUAUGACAAACGAGUCUUGAAUCAACUUGAACCAACUAUUCCAACAUGGAAACUUCAUUAGCGUAUCCAAAUGUCUUCAUGAAACAUAAACUUGUUACCUGAUUCCGGUAAGUUCGGUAUCUUGUUAAGCUGAAAGGAGAAAGGAGACUAGUAUCAGUGAUACGGAACCGACCAUAUGACAUACAUGCUUAUGUGAAUGUUGACAAUAUUGACUGUUAAACUAGUUUAUCCCUACUAUCUAAAAAUAAGUCCCUUUCACACGCUAGAAAGAAAACAAAGGUAAAGAGUACCAUAAAACAUCUCACGAUAUAAAUAUAUAAACUAGUAUCAAGUUGUCCCUUGGAAUCCACUUACCUUAUUAGGGUGGGAACUUCAAGAUGAAUGGAGGGAAAAUAUUCGCCUCCUGUCAUUAUUAAAAUUAAGAUUAUUAGUACACUGCACUAGCAUAAGCUUCAGUUUUACCACAUGACAGGAGGCUUCAUAUUUAGCAAUUUUUAACGCUUAGGAAGAAGGGCGAAUGUGGCAUUGGACGACUGACGGAAAUAGAAUGUCCGAAACGUUGAUUCGCGUUACCAGUCGGCAGUUUGCAGAAUGUCUGACAGUGAUGCGCCUGCCAAGAAAGAGGCUGAUGCCGCCGCCCCCCGCACGGAGUAUGCGCCAAAGGACAAUCCCCUUAGAAAACGGAGUACCACAUUCACAUCCCAUAGGUGUCGAUAUUUUGGUGCUGGAGGUCGUCUCAGUUUGAUGCAGUCUAACAGUCGACAGAUCAGGGGAUCUUGUCCUACCGGUCUACCUUGGGACGGCAUGUGGGCUGCUGAGAUGGCGGAUCUGACCACGUUGAUGGUGCAAUAUGAUUUCCCUUCCUCGAAUAUCUUCGAUAGGAAGUUCAUGAUAUCGGGUACAGGGGCUGUAAAGGGAUCCAGGUUCCGCCCCAUGCACCAAUCGGUCCAAGAGUGCCAUGCUGAUAAGUAACUCUUUCGUGUUCCAGGGUCCCAGGAGUCCCAUAGGAGGUCCUUAGUUGUUGCCGAUAGGUUUCCGGUACACCAUGCUCCCCUGAAAGAUUCCAGGCUAUCAGCGAUAGGCGUCCAUCUAGGAACAUUGGGUGUGUCUCCCCCAUUGGGUUUCUGAGUAGGCUGUAGUCGAUAGGUAGUAGGAUUGGAUCCUGCCAAGCCAGUUCGAGCAGGUCCGGAAACCAAGGUUGGCUCAGCUAGUUGGGUGUCAGGAGCGUUAAUCUCACUCCUCGUUGUCGAAUGUGAUGGAGAACCCUCGCAAUCAUGGCGAAUGGGGGAAAGGCGUAAGCUCCUCGUGGAGGCCAUUGUUGGGUGAAAGCGUCUACCGCCAGGCAUUCCGGGUCUGGAAGCCAACUGUAAAACUGUGGCAUUUGGUGAUUUUUGUGGGAGGCAAAUAGGUCCAGUGUGAAGGGCCCCAUCUGAUUGUUCAGGAGGGCAAAUAUCUGUGGGUCCAGUUGCCAAUCGCUGACGUCUCUCCAGUGUCCAAUCUGCCGUACGAUUCGACUCCCCUGGCAGGUAUUCUGCUUGUAUCGUAAUGUUGCGUGGGAGACAGUAGUCGAAGAUUUCCUUCGUCAGCUCCACCAGUGUUUGGGAGCGUGUACCGCCAAGGUGGUUGAUGUAUCUCACCGCCGAUAUGUUGUCUAUCCGAAGAAGUAUACAAUAAUUGGAUUGUCCUUUCGCCAGAUGGCGUAUAGCGAAAAACCCCAGUUCCAGGCAGUUGAUGUGCAUUGAGAGUUCUUGGUUUGUCCAUGUUCCUCCCCUGGAUGCUUCCCCGUCCGUGGCACCCCAUCCUAAUCGGCUGGCGUCUGAUUCCAGCACGAAGUCCGUGUGGGUGCCGAAAAUGGCUUGGCCGUUCCAGGCAUGCAUACAAUUGAGCCACCAUUCGAGUUCCUGAUGUACCUCGCUCGUUAGCGGGACUGGUUGGUUGUACGUAAGGUUUUGUUGUAAGAAGCGGGCUUUCAAUUGUUGCAUGGCUCGGUAGUGCAGGGGGCCUGGAAAUAUGGCUUGUAUCGAAGAGGACAAUAGGCCAACGAUCCGUGCUAAUUGUCGGAGUGGAAUGGAAUCGCAUUUGCGUACUCUGCGGAUUUCCUUCUUGAUGGCAGUCACUUUGGUAGCCAGGAGAUGAAGAGUGCAGGACCUGGAGUCUAUCUCGAAGCCCAGGAAUUGGAUGUUUUGUGUGGGUGUCAUUGCGGAUUUUGCUCUGUUGACUAUAAAGCCCAGGGAUUCCAAUAAUUGUACCGUAUAUUCUGUAUGUUGGAUUGCCAAUUCCCUCGUCCUGCAGAACAAGAAUAUGUCGUCUAGAUAAAUGAUGCACCUGAUCCCAUGAGUCCUGGGAUGAGAGACUACUGGUUUCAACAUCUUCGUAAAACACCAUGGUGCCGAGCUCAGUCCGAAGGGGAGGCAUGUAAAUUGCCAGGGAGUGCCAUUCCAUAGAAAUCGGAGGAGAGGACGGCUGUCCGCGUGAAUCGGGAUUGAUAGAUAUGCGUCUUUGAAGUCCAGACGCGUAAACCAGUCCUUGUCUUGAAGGAGGUCCCUUAGUAAGUGUAUGCCCUCUAUUUUGAAGUGGUGGUAGGUUACGUGGGCAUUCAAUGCUCUGAGAUUGAUGACCGGUCUGAAGUCUCCGGUUUUCUUGCGGACGAGAAACAUAUUGCUGAAGAAGCCUCCCCGUCCUUGAACGGGCUGUGUGGCGCCCUUCGCAUGCAGUUCGCGGAGCUCCAUUUCUAUGAGGUGCGCGUCUGAUGCUGAGAGGUAUAAUGGGUGAGGAGGACAUUCUUGUACCGGGUUCGUAUGUAAUUCGAUGCGGUACCCUUUGACUGUCUGUAGCACCCAGGCAUCUGAUAAGAGUUUUGCCCAAUUCUGGGAAAAAAGAGAAACAUGGCCUGCAGACAUGGUUAGUUGGGACAUAGUUAUGGGUUGUUUUCUUACCUGUGGGAAGUCUUGCUCGGGCUUGCCCGCAACCUCCACGUCCUCUUUCCGUACCCCUCUGAUAGUAGGGGUAGCUCUGUCGAGAGCCUGCGUCCUGGUAACCCUGUUGCGGGUAAAAUUGUUGUGGGUGUCCUGUGCGGGGUCCCGAUUGCCAGAAUCGGCUGGUGGGAAAAACACCUCUUGUGAGGUUGCCACGGAAAACCUUGCGCAUGGAUGAACGGGCUCGGUUUAGUGAGGUGAAGCCAUUAACAUGUUUGUUGAGCUCUUUGAGGAAGGCCUCCCCGAAGAGCUUGCCCUGUGCCUGUGGGCCCAAUUCUUUUACCCCUAAAUCCGCUAAUUUGGGGUCUAUGCGGAACAGUGCUGUGCAGAGGGCCGCAUUGGUAUUCCCGAGAAAACAGAAGCUUCUCUGUGUCCAUUCUCGGAUGUCGUGUGCCCACUCUCUUACCAUGUCCGCAUUAAAAGAGUCCGCCCUGGCAUAGGCAUCGUCCGCCAAAUACAUUACACAGGCCAAGGGCUCCAUCGUGUCCAGGAGCUUGUCUUGCGCCCCUUUUAGACUCCUCUCUAUCCCUCUGCGGGGGUCCCGACCUACCUGCUCCAUGAAUGUCAGCAUAAACUGAUUGAACUCGGGUGUGAAAGCUACUUUAUCGGGUAGCGAUGGUCUUGGGCACUCCGCUCUCAUCUGCUUACAUACGUGCUUCUCUAGGGGCUUGCGGAUCCAGAAACGCAUAAACAUGAGGAGGUGCUCAGGUGGGGCCCAUUCCCCCAAGCGGGGAUGCCGAAUAUUUCUGGGAUCGAACAUCCUGUGCCCUGUGGUGUCUAGAAACAUCUCUUGAUCCUACGUUAUGGUUGAGGCGGAAGCUUCUUCGACUCCUUUACCCUCAGGCACACCCAGGAAGGUCUCCGUGACAUAGGCGUUAGAGCCCCAAUUGCCUUCGUCCGAUGCAGAGAUGUCCGCCUGCCAUUCAUCAGGAAUGUGGCAUGUCUUUUUCCUCAUCCGAGGAGAUGUCCUUAGUGGGCUUUGAUGCCAUAGGACGUUUACUGCGCUUCAGGGGCACCUUGCCUUUGUUGGUGGCUUUUUUAGAUACCUCGCCCUUCCAGUGGCGUUUAGCCUGGCGGUAUUUCUCCUGAGAGGAGUCGUCCGACGCCUCAGAGUCUUCUUGAUCAUGAGGUCGUCUACUAACCGGCUUGCUAGACUGCCGCAUUAAUCAUGUCCUGGAGCUCGCUAGUGUUCUGAUUGUCCUCCAUAGUGAGGGCACUGACAGGCACAGGGUUGUCAAUAGAUACGUGGGAGUUGGAUUGUGUGGGAGGGGAAUAUGACAGGCCGACGGCCGUACAAUAGUCGCCAGUGACGAGCGACAAGCGGACUCUGUACUACUGGGGCUCACCCAGUUGGUCGGAACUGCUUGCACAGAUUCCGUUAGGCAGCACUACGGGAUCUUUUCCAAAUUGGGGCUCACCCCUAGCCAGAUUACUGGGUAUAAAACCUAACUGGCUGUCCCACUCCCUAGGGUUAUAACACCCACCUUGUACACUACAACAGUAGGCACUUUUUCCAGCAGUCAAAGGUCUCCUUGUAUGAGCCUGGUGGUGCUGUGAGUUGGACUUCCCCAAGAGCCUCACGAAAUGGCCACCGCGGUGAACAGGAAGAAAAAAGCCUGCAAAGGCAAACAGUUAGAAAAACCUACAAGCGUUUGCAAGCAGCCGAACGUCUAUGGAAGGAGAAGCUGCGAACGGACUGAAUUACUUAUAUGAACCCAGUCCGUGCGCGUGAAUGCACUGAGCUAUUGAGUGUUCGCGGGUGUACGCGAACGGAGCGCCUUUCGCUCCGUUCGUGCCUUUGCUGGAUGGGCACGCGCGAACCUAGGGCCAGCUUGCUCUAUUCGUGCAGAGAAGUGUAUGAACAGAGCAGUGAGCCCUAUAUGAAAGUGGCAAACGUAGCCACUCGAGGAAUGUGGGGAGGGAAGGGGGAUGAGGCUAUCCCGUAGCGCCGAGGUGAAACAGGGGAUCCCUGGAACGGUGAAACCGUUAAAGGGGUACUCCCAAUAAGUGACCCCUUGCCACCCCCCAGUAUCUGUAUAACAGUUAAGGCAAACUAUGUAGAUAAUACCUUUAACACAUAAACACAGACAAAAAACAGUAAGGAAGUAUUACUCUGACCUGACUUGUGAUGGAGCAGCAAAGAAAGAGGAAACGAUAUACUCUCUGACUCAAGCUGAUUGGUUCUUUCUUUCAACUGUUUUUUAGUUAGUAAAAAGCUGUGGAGUUAGUAAAGAAAGUUAAUGCAAAAUAUGAAGCCUCUUGUCAUGUAGUAAAAUUCUAGGGCCUCCAACAAGGCCAGACUGUGGUAGCUUCACCCAGUGUCUAGAAGUGUCAGGCAUAGGAAAUAUACAGAGACAACGUAUCCCUUAUCUCUUGAACUAGGUCUUGAGCUAGGUUGGAAUUUCAGUGAAUUUCCAUGACAGUCAAUAUGAGGAUUUCAUAAUUACUUUAUCUUUAUGAAAUAUGUGCUUUGCAGGGAGGAGGAUGGAGGCAGUUGUACAGGUUCCAAUCAAAACAAACUAUAAUUUACCUCUUUCAUACUAAGUGCACCCACACUUAUUAUAAAUUGAUUUGUUCAGGAGAAACAGAGCUUUCGUGUCACAUCAAAUAUAUAUAUUAAAUUAUGUUUUGCUCUUUAUUUCCAGUUUGGGGGACUGCUUGACAAACCAGUCAGUCCCCCUGCAGCCAAUGCUUUAGACAAAGGGUCAGAUUUGCUGCUGGGGGACUGUCUGGGUUAUCAGGUAGACCCCCCAAUCGGGAUCGCAGGAUGCAAACAAUUACAAUGUUCAAUGCUUUUAAGCCCAUUUAAAGCAGGAUGGCAUUGAAUGCAGUAAAGGCAUUAAGGGGCUACAAAAGAUUUGCCAAAUUAUAAAGUUAGAGAUAAGAACAGAGUUGUAAAUAAAUAACAUUUCUGAAUAUGUAGCAUAGACAUAUUUCCUCCAUGUUCCAAUGACAUCCACGCUUUAGCUGCCUCACAGACAGCAUGCCGUCUUCAAUGAUUCCAUCUUGCCUUCCAUACACUGCGUGUUUCCAGUGCCAGAGGAUGCAAAGCAGCCCCAGAGCAUCACCUAUUCACCACCACGCUUAACUGUAGGCAGAGUUUUGUUUUCACAGUAUGCUUCAUUUCUUCUUUUCAGAUUAUGCUUCAUUCUUCUUCCUCCAGAUAUAACGCUGAUCCAUUGGGCUAAAAAUAUCCAGUUUUGUUUCAUUGCUCCACAGAACAGAAUUCCAAAUAUUCUGUGGCUUAUUUAUAUGAUUUCACUUGUGCUUUUUGGUCAGUAGUGGUGUAUGUCUUAGAGUUCUGGCAUGGAAACCUUCUGCAUUUUGUAUGCGCCUUAAUCUGCUCACUGAAACCUCAGUGCCUGUUUCUACCAAGUUUUGCUGCAGGUCUUUUGGAGUCACUUGAGGGUUUUUCACAACCUGUCUUCUCAGAAAUCUGAUUGUAGCCAUUGAUAGCUUCCUUUUUUUACCCGGUCCAUGUAGUGUAACCACUGUUACUUCAUCUUUGAACUAUGCUUCCAACGGUGUCUCUAGGAACAUUCAGUGCCGUCACUAUAUUUAUGUAUCCUAUUCCUUGUUUGUGAAGGGUGAUGAUCUUUUCUCUUCUUUAGCCAGUUCAGGUACUUUAAGUGUUCCAGCUCAAGCUCACCUGAUGCAACUAAUGAAUGCCCCUCAGAUAGUCUAACAGAGCUUUAACUAUCAGCUCCACUCUCUAUCACUCCUCUACCACGUGUGAUAGAAAAUGGCUGAUCGCAGGGCUAGCUGACAACUGGACAGGCUGGCUGUUGGCUGAAAAGGGGUCUCUCACAGACAAGCUAAGUGGCUGGCUGAUGGCAGGGCGAGAGGCAGGGUGGGCGCCAGGGUGGGCUCUGAUGGCACGGCGUGCUGACAGCAAGGCAUGCUGAUGGCAAGGCGGCUGAUGGCAGGUGGGCUUAAGAUCGCGCUCCCGCAAUCUCUUAUGGGAUCGCUGUGGUGUGAUCUCUUAUGAGAACGCUGUUGCGCAAUCUCUGCUGUUUCCGACCUUCCGGGAACAGCAGGUAGCGGCGGCCAUCUUGGCUCGCAGAACCCUAGGGUUGGAACACCAAUUGGGAAAUGCUGUUAAAUGGUAUCCAUUAUCAUACAAAAUUUCAGACUGAGUCAAAAAAAGGAGCACAGAAGCAAACAUUGUAAUGUUUAUCACAAACCCAUAGGAGUAAGGAGACAGCAUUGAGAUGCUGAGAAGUACAUGGAUCCCUUAGUCUCUUAUGUAUUAAACUACUGAUUCCUUUAUAUUGCAGCCUGUUCUGCAAGUUAAUUACCUCUCCAUUUGCCUCAUUCCCUCUCACCCCAUUGAGCCUUCAUUAACCCCCUUCGCACCCCACCCAGCCCUCAUUAUCCCCCCUCACCACACAUCCAGCCCUCACUCUGUCUCCAACCCACCAUCCAGCCAUCAGUAACCCACAUUACCUCACAUCCAGCCCACAUUUAUCCCCCUCACCCCACAUCCAGCCCUGUAGCGUGGCCGAGCGGUACCCAGUCUGACAGGAAGUGCCCUCUCAGUGAGCACUUCCUGUCAGCCAUGGUGCUUGGGCGCACUACAUACAUAGAGACCGGCAGGAAGGGAGCAGCACAGUGCUCCCCUCCCGCCGGUCACUCAGCGACCGCGGGGCCAAGACCAGCGCGACAGUGCACUUGUAAAGUUGUGGUGACCCACGGUCACAUGGGUCGCAGCUGUGGCUGGGCUCCAUGGAGUGAUCUGCGACCCCUGCGACCAUUGUAGGUAUGUCACUGGUUAUCAGCUACCCUUCCAAACCCAGACAUGCUGUCUAAACAAUUAAACUAGUAAUCACAGGGUGGUACCAAGAUCUGGGUGGAUGGAGGUUUACUUAUUGACUUUCUGAGCAGACAUGAAGUUCAUUCAGGAGAAGGGAGACUAGUAGGUUUGGUGUUCCAGAAGAUAAUGGGUUUUCCUUACAUAGAUGUGAUGGCAGUGGUUUUCAACAGGAGUCCAAUAGGUUCUUUCCUUUUUCCUCAUGCAUGGAAGGGGUGGAUGACCCAUCUUGUGUUUGGUGAAUCCAAAGGGGCUAUAUAUUCUCUUAUUUCCCCUAAUAUCUAAGCUCCUUCAAAGGAUUUAUUGAAGGAAGAUGGACAUAUUGGCCAGUUUUCCCACAUUGGCCCUUCUUUCCCUUGUUGAUAUGCCUCUCCUUGAAACUUUAAAUAGUGAAGCUGUCAAUAUAUCAACAACAGGGCAAUAGUAAACCAUACAAGGAUCACAUUGAGGGCAAGGAAAACCUAGUUAAAUAAAUCCAGUCUAGUUCUGUCCUAUAAUGCGUGAACUAUUGACUUUAACAUCAGCAGUAAAUCAUAACGUGCGUGUUUCCUAUAAAUUGUGCAAUUCAUUAGUUAAAACUUUGGCAAUUUAGCUCAUGAUUAUGAGCUUAUGAAUAUUCAUUCAUUUUCCAUACUCUCACAUAAACAUUAUGAAUGAUAAUUAAUUCCCAUGUCAACUCUUUUGCAACUGUUUCACAGUUCAACUGUGAGAAAUUUCAAGCCAGUAAUGAAUAUGUCCCUUGGGUGUAUGUAUAUCAUUGGAAGGGAAGUGAAGGGUGCCCUCUGCCCUAUGGAGCCAGCAUUCAGUGUAUUUAAAGUGCCACAGAGAACUAUCUACAUGUUUUAUAGGGUAUGUACAACUGGCGGAAACUAAAGUCUUUAAAAAUGAAAAUUGCAAGAAAACAAAACUAAACAAAAACCAUUUUUUCGACAAAUAUUGCACAGUGUAACUGAAUAAUUUUCUGUUAUUUUUCUUUAAACAUUGUCUGAAGGCAAUUCAGAUAAAUUAAUUGUACAUUUUAAUUAAAGUACGACCAAAGACUUUUGAGUGUUGAGCUGCGAAUUAGACAGAUAUUUCCAGGGAACAUAGCACUGCUUAACAUCUCGACAGUGUGUUAACUCCAGUAAAAUUAGAAAAUUGUAUAAAUCCUUAGCCCCUGAGACGAAAUGUAUCCGAAUCUCAAACCAAAAGAAAGGCGCAAUGGACGAGCAUGUUUGUUUUAAUUUGUGAUUUGGAAUUUUGCCCCAAAUAAAGAGAUAAUUAAUGGGAAAGAUGAGGAUUUCUGGUCAGGGGACAGCCACUAAAUGUUUAUUUUUAUUCACAGAUGAAGUGGGAAGUGGCCAAUAGCGAGGAAAAAA
Non-coding RNA from Pelobates cultripes (western spadefoot toad), 18174 nucleotides. NCBI's taxonomy places the organism in Eukaryota, Metazoa, Chordata, Amphibia, Anura, Pelobatidae. The record is from the annotation of a GenBank genome assembly.